GACGAACGCUGGCGGCGUGCUUAACACAUGCAAGUCGAACGGGCCGCUGAAAUGCUUGCAUUUUGGUUGGUUAGUGGCGAACGGGUGAGUAACACGUGAGUAACCUGCCCCCUUCUUUGGGAUAACAUUUCGAAAGGGAUGCUAAUACCGGAUAUUCUGGCUUCAUCGCAUGGUGGGGUUUGGAAAGGGUUUCUGGUGGGGGAUGGGCUCGCGGCUUAUCAGCUGGUUGGUGGGGUGAUGGCUUACCAAGGCUUUGACGAGUAGCCGGCCUGAGAGGGUGGUCGGGCACACUGGGACUGAGAUACGGCCCAGACUCCUACGGGAGGCAGCAGUGGGGAAUAUUGCACAAUGGGCGAAAGCCUGAUGCAGCGACGCCGCGUGGGGGAUGAAGGCCUUCGGGUUGUAAACUCCUUUCGCUUAUCAGCAAGCCGCUAUUUUGUUAGUGGUGAGGAUAGUAGGUAAAGAAGCACCGGCUAACUACGUGCCAGCAGCCGCGGUAAUACGUAGGGUGCGAGCGUUGUCCGGAAUUAUUGGGCGUAAAGAGCUCGUAGGUGGUUGGUCGCGCUGUCGUGAAAGCUCAUGGCUUAACUGUGAGUUUGCGGUGGGUACGGCUGACUUGAGUGCAGUAGGGGAGAUUGGAAUUCCUGGUGUAGCGGUGGAAUGCGCAUAUAUCAAGAGGAAUACCGGUGGCGAAGGCGGAUCUCUGGGCUGUUACUGACACUGAGGAGCGAAGCAUGGGGAGCGAACGGG
This 750-nucleotide ribosomal RNA is filed under the name uncultured bacterium. RNAcentral's name for it is "bacterial SSU rRNA". It matches the Rfam family "Bacterial small subunit ribosomal RNA", at positions 28 to 776 of the family's 1533-position model. The record is from RNAcentral.